RNAcentral lists this ribosomal RNA (429 nucleotides) under Bacteroidota bacterium. Its description in RNAcentral is "Bacteroidetes bacterium partial 16S ribosomal RNA". It matches the Rfam family "Bacterial small subunit ribosomal RNA", at positions 355 to 776 of the family's 1533-position model. Lineage: Bacteria; Pseudomonadati; Bacteroidota. The record is from RNAcentral.
UAGGGAAUCUUCGGCAAUGGGGGGAACCCUGACCGAGCAACGCCGCGUGAGUGAAGAAGGUUUUCGGAUCGUAAAGCUCUGUUGUUAAGGAAGAACGAGUGUGAGAAUGGAAAGUUCAUGCUGUGACGGUACUUAACCAGAAAGGGACGGCUAACUACGUGCCAGCAGCCGCGGUAAUACGUAGGUCCCGAGCGCUGUCCGGAUUUAUUGGGCGUAAAGCGAGCGCAGGCGGUUAGAAAAGUCUGAAGUGAAAGGCAGUGGCUCAACCAUUGUAGGCUUUGGAAACUGUUUAACUUGAGUGCAGAAGGGGAGAGUGGAAUUCCAUGUGUAGCGGUGAAAUGCGUAGAUAUAUGGAGGAACACCGGUGGCGAAAGCGGCUCUCUGGUCUGUAACUGACGCUGAGGAUCGAAAGCGUGGGGAGCGAACAGA